AAUCAACGCUGGCGGCGUGCCUCAGACAUGCAAGUCGAACGCGAAAGUCCCCUUCGGGGGACAAGUAGAGUGGCGCACGGGUGAGUAACACGUAGGUAAUCUACCUUCGGGUGGGGAAUAACCCCGGGAAACCGGGGCUAAUACCGCAUAAUGCAGCGGCACCUAAUGGUGACAGUUGUUAAAGCGGGGGAUCGCAAGAUCUCGCGCCUGAAGAGGAGCCUGCGGCGGAUUAGCUAGUUGGCAGGGUAACGGCCUACCAAGGCGACGAUCCGUAGCCGGCCUGAGAGGGCGGUCGGCCACACUGACACUGACAUACGGGUCAGACUCCUACGGGAGGCAGCAGUCGGGAAUUUUGGGCGAUGGGCGAAAGCCUGACCCAGCAACGCCGCGUGAAGGAUGAAAUCCCUCGGGAUGUAAACUUCGCAAGAACGGGAAGAAUAAGUUUGUGCUAACACCACAAGCGAUGACGGUACUGUUUGUAAGCUCCGGCUAACUCCGUGCCAGCAGCCGCGGUAAUAC
This 519-nucleotide ribosomal RNA is filed under the name uncultured bacterium. RNAcentral's name for it is "bacterial SSU rRNA". It matches the Rfam family "Bacterial small subunit ribosomal RNA", at positions 32 to 526 of the family's 1533-position model. The record is from RNAcentral.